UUAUAUUCACAAAGUGCUUUUCGUUUCUUAUAUAUGUGAGCUAUUUGAUUGCCUCAAAAUAUUUUCUCUCACAUAUAAUUGAGUGAUUAUAAGCUUUUAAGCAUUGUCUUGAAUUCUGAGAGAAGAAAGAGUGGAUAUACCUUGUGAGGAUAUGAAUCAUACUUGUUCGAAGCAUGCUUAACAGAAACCAUCACCAUUAUUACAACCAAGUCCUACUUGUGUAUGUGAGAUUUCUGAGACAAAAAGUUGAAGGGCAAUAGAGUCAUUGUUUUUGUAGAGUCUUUAAUUUUCGUUGAGUCUUAGUGUGUGUCUUAGUGUGAUUUUGCUAAGGGACUAGCAAAAGCUAAGUGUGGGGGAAUUUG
This 362-nucleotide long non-coding RNA is filed under the name Rosa chinensis. RNAcentral describes it as "sRNA RchiOBHm_Chr1g0371711". The record is from RNAcentral. Lineage: Eukaryota; Viridiplantae; Streptophyta; Magnoliopsida; Rosales; Rosaceae.